Molecule: ribosomal RNA, 476 nt
Filed under: uncultured bacterium
Lineage: Bacteria
Description: bacterial SSU rRNA
Rfam family: Bacterial small subunit ribosomal RNA
Source: RNAcentral
GUGCAUGGCAGACGGGUGAGUAACGCGUGGGGAAUCUACCUCUUUGUGGGGAAUAACGCUCCGAAAGGAGUGGUAAUACCGCAUGAGAUCCAUGGCUGGGAUGCUGUGGAUGAAACCUGGGGACCGCAAGGCCUGGGGCAAGGAGAGGAUCCUGCGUCUGAUUAGCUAGUUGGUGAGGUAAUGGCCCACCAAGGCGACGAUCAGUAGCCGGCCUGAGAGGGUGAUCGGCCACACUGGAACUGAGACACGGUCCAGACUCCUACGGGAGGCAGCAGUGGGGAAUUUUGCGCAAUGGACGAGAGUCUGACGCAGCAACGCCGCGUGGGUGAUGAAGGUCUUCGGACUGUAAAACCCUGUCGUCAGGGACGAAGGUGGCACGACUAAUAAUCGUGUUACUUGACGGUACCUGGAGAGGAAGCCCCGGCUAACUCUGUGCCAGCAGCCGCGGUAAUACAGAGGGGGCAAGCGUUAUUCGG